This 815-nucleotide ribosomal RNA is filed under the name uncultured Planctomycetota bacterium. Its description in RNAcentral is "bacterial SSU rRNA". It matches the Rfam family "Bacterial small subunit ribosomal RNA", at positions 21 to 827 of the family's 1533-position model. Lineage: Bacteria; Pseudomonadati; Planctomycetota. The record is from RNAcentral.
GGCUCANAGCGAACGGUGGCGGCGUGGAUUAGGCACGCAAGUCGCACGAGAACGGUUCAGCUUGCUGGACUUAUUAAAGUGGCGAACGGGUGAGUAAUGUAUGGACAAUCUACCCUUGACUCGGGGACAACAGCUGGAAACGGCUGCUAAUACCCGAUAGCCCCGGUAGGAGGUACUCCGGCCGGGUAAAGGUGGCAACACUGAUCGAGGAGGGGUCCAUAUCCUAUCAGCUUGUUGGUGAGGUAACGGCUCACCAAGGCGACGACGGGUAGCCGAACUGAGAGGUUGAUCGGCCACAUCGGGACUGAGACACUGCCCGGACUCCUACGGGAGGCUGCAGUCGAGAAUCUUCCGCAAUGGACGCAAGUCUGACGGAGCGACGCCGCGUGAAGGAUGAAGGCCCUCGGGUUGUAAACUUCUGUCACUCGUGAGGAACGUCCGUGGUAAGCCCAUGGACUGACGUUAGCGAGAAAGGAAGCCACGGCUAACUUCGUGCCAGCAGCCGCGGUAAGACGAAGGUGGCAACCGUUGCUCGGAUUCACUGGGCAUAAAGCGCGCGUAGGUGGCUUGAAAGGUCAGCGGUGAAAUCCCACGGCUCAACCGUGGAACUGCCGCUGAAACCAUCUUGCUUGAGGACGGGAGGGGAGAGUGGAACUCUUGGUGUAGCGGUGAAAUGCGUAGAUAUCAAGAGGAACGCCGGUGGCGAAAGCGACUCUCUGGACCGUUCCUGACACUGAGGCGCGAAAGCUAGGGGAGCAAACAGGAUUAGAUACCCUGGUAGUCCUAGCUGUAAACGAUGGGCACUGGGUAGGGGU